RNAcentral lists this ribosomal RNA (468 nucleotides) under uncultured bacterium. RNAcentral's name for it is "partial 16S ribosomal RNA". It matches the Rfam family "Bacterial small subunit ribosomal RNA", at positions 28 to 507 of the family's 1533-position model. The record is from RNAcentral.
GACGAACGCUGGCGGCGUGCUUAACACAUGCAAGUCGAACGGAAAGGCCCUGCUUUUGUGGGGUGCUCGAGUGGCGAACGGGUGAGUAACACGUGAGUAACCUGCCCUUGACUUUGGGAUAACUUCAGGAAACUGGGGCUAAUACCGGAUAGGAGCUCCUGCUGCAUGGUGGGGGUUGGAAAGUUUCGGCGGUUGGGGAUGGACUCGCGGCUUAUCAGCUUGUUGGUGGGGUAGUGGCUUACCAAGGCUUUGACGGGUAGCCGGCCUGAGGGGGUGACCGGCCACAUUGGGACUGAGAUACGGGCCAGACUCCUACGGGAGGCAGCAGUGGGGAAUAUUGCACAAUGGGCGGAAGCCUGAUGCAGCAACGCCGCGUGCGGGAUGACGGCCUUCGGGUUGUAAACCGCUUUCGCCUGUGACGAAGCGUGAGUGGCGGUAAUGGGUAAAGAAGCACCGGCUAACUACGUG